Molecule: long non-coding RNA, 1395 nt
Filed under: Salmo salar (Atlantic salmon)
Lineage: Eukaryota; Metazoa; Chordata; Actinopteri; Salmoniformes; Salmonidae
Description: lncRNA (ENSSSAG00000083412.1)
Source: RNAcentral
GUCCUGGUUAGGGUCCAGAAGACCUUGUAAUGUGUGGACUAGGCACACCAUGAGUCUGCUUACAAUGGACAUCACCCAGGGGCCAUGAUGUCAUAAAGAAAUGUUCCUUUGUGACUUGAAAGGAAGAGAGAAGGUUUGAAUUGGAACUGCAAAUGUGUCAUGACAUUAAGGAUAUUGUGUCAUGACAUUAAGGAUAUUGUGUCAUGAUAUUCCUAAUCUCUGGGACAAGUCUAAAAGAAAUGUUGUUUUGAAUAGAUAUCCACCAAAGGCUGAUCUGUGUUGUUAUACUUAACUUUUUCUAGUUGUUUUCUGGAAUGUUCUUUGAGGGUACUAAGAAGCUGUGGUUUCUACACCAUGAGGUUGAUGUUGAGGGUCCAGUGGUGCGACUGCUCUCUCCCUAUUGGAAGUUUUUCUAUCUCUCUCUACCCCCCUUUCUCUCUCUUUCCCAUCUUGUCCCCCCCCCCCCCCCGUUGUUGGGAUAGAUCUUAUACGUGUCAUUGUGUCUGGGUGUGUUAAAAUGCUCCCUUCAGGAAAGGGAAAACGACUUGUAGUUGGUCACAGAAAGCAGAUCUGGGCAGAACAUCAAGUUACUCUGACCAGGGUCAAGUUGAUCAGUCUGAAGGGAUGUUCAGUAUUUCACUUUGUGCUACAUGUGUCCAUUUAGCUUCUAAAUAAGAGGUUUUAUAACAGGUGAUGGCUGUGAGGAAAACAUGUUACAACUCAACGUUAAUUCAACCUCUCUAGUUGAAUGAAGAAUGUGGAGCGUUCUGAUAUCAACCCUGGUGGGUUUAAUAGUAGUGUUUCAUCCCGUGGAUGGUACAUGUCCAGUGUCAUACCUAGUGGUGUUUAGGAAGCUAUCGUUUUCAAAUGUUUUUCACACGGGAGGUCUGUUUCUGAAAACGGCUGUUUUUCACCCCCUCAUUGAAGUGUUAGUUUAUAACGAGGGUUCAGUCUUGUAACUAUCUUUGAGAAGUGCCUGGUUGCGUUCUAUCCACACUCUCUUAGAAUUAACAAUUAGAACCAAAAGGAUUCCGGUUCCAUACCAUCGUGGAGGCGAGUCUUUUCAAUGUUUGGGGUCUAACAUUUAUCUAACCAUUUUAGUUUGAACCGUUUUUGUUGUCUUUUGAAAAACCCAUGUUUGUUCUAAUCCCAACUACAGUAUAUUGUUGUCAACUGGACAUUUGCCAUUUUAGAAUUUUGCUGAAUAUUUUGUAACGUGCUAUAUAGUAUACCGUUAGCGUAAGACUCCCUUCCCUCUCUCCAGCCUAACGCUAUCCCUUCCCUCUCUCCAGCCUAACGCUAUCCCUUCCCUCUCUCCAGCCUAACGCUAUCCCUUCCCUCUCUCCAGCCUAACGCUAUCCCUUCCCUCUCUCCAGCCUAACGCUAUCCCUUCCC